RNAcentral lists this ribosomal RNA (485 nucleotides) under uncultured bacterium. Its description in RNAcentral is "bacterial SSU rRNA". It matches the Rfam family "Bacterial small subunit ribosomal RNA", at positions 327 to 805 of the family's 1533-position model. The record is from RNAcentral.
ACGACUACACUCCUACGGGAGGCAGCAGUAGGGAAUCUUCCGCAAUGGGCGAAAGCCUGACGGAGCAACGCCGCGUGAGUGAUGAAGGUCUUCGGAUCGUAAAACUCUGUUGUUAGGGAAGAACAUAUGUGUAAGUAACUGUGCACAUCUUGACGGUACCUAAUCAGAAAGCCACGGCUAACUACGUGCCAGCAGCCGCGGUAAUACGUAGGUGGCAAGCGUUAUCCGGAAUUAUUGGGCGUAAAGCGCGCGUAGGCGGUUUUUUAAGUCUGAUGUGAAAGCCCACGGCUCAACCGUGGAGGGUCAUUGGAAACUGGAAAACUUGAGUGCAGAAGAGGAAAGUGGAAUUCCAUGUGUAGCGGUGAAAUGCGCAGAGAUAUGGAGGAACACCAGUGGCGAAGGCGACUUUCUGGUCUGUAACUGACGCUGAUGUGCGAAAGCGUGGGGAUCAAACAGGAUUAGAAACCCUUGUAGUCCACCAAUCC